This 755-nucleotide ribosomal RNA is filed under the name Trichoderma asperellum. RNAcentral's name for it is "SSU rRNA". It matches the Rfam family "Eukaryotic small subunit ribosomal RNA", at positions 54 to 820 of the family's 1831-position model. Lineage: Eukaryota; Fungi; Ascomycota; Sordariomycetes; Hypocreales; Hypocreaceae. The record is from RNAcentral.
CCGGUCCUAUGUUUAAGCACUUAUACCGCGAAACUGCGAAUGGCUCAUUAUAUAAGUUAUCGUUUAUUUGAUAAUACUUUACUACUUGGAUAACCGUGGUAAUUCUAGAGCUAAUACAUGCUAAAAAUCCCGACUUCGGAAGGGUUGUAUUUAUUAGAUUAAAAACCAAUGCCCCUCGGGGCUCUCUGGUGAAUCAUGAUAACUAGUCGAAUCGACAGGCCUUGUGCCGGCGAUGGCUCAUUCAAAUUUCUUCCCUAUCAACUUUCGAUGUUUGGGUCUUGUCCAAACAUGGUGGCAACGGGUAACGGAGGGUUAGGGCUCGACCCCGGAGAAGGAGCCUGAGAAACGGCUACUACAUCCAAGGAAGGCAGCAGGCGCGCAAAUUACCCAAUCCCGACACGGGGAGGUAGUGACAAUAAAUACUGAUACAGGGCUCUUUUGGGUCUUGUAAUCGGAAUGAGUACAAUUUAAAUCCCUUAACGAGGAACAAUUGGAGGGCAAGUCUGGUGCCAGCAGCCGCGGUAAUUCCAGCUCCAAUAGCGUAUAUUAAAGUUGUUGUGGUUAAAAAGCUCGUAGUUGAACCUUGGGCCUGGCUGGCCGGUCCGCCUCACCGCGUGCACUGGUCCGGCCGGGCCUUUCCCUCUGCGGAACCCCAUGCCCCUUCACUGGGUGUGGCGGGGAAACAGGACUUUUACUUUGAAAAAAUUAUAGUGCUCAAGGCAGGCUUUUGCUCCAAUCCUUACCUGGAAUAACCC